This 324-nucleotide ribosomal RNA is filed under the name uncultured eukaryote. RNAcentral describes it as "partial 18S ribosomal RNA". It matches the Rfam family "Eukaryotic small subunit ribosomal RNA", at positions 1470 to 1796 of the family's 1831-position model. The record is from RNAcentral.
CCCUUAGAUGCUCUGGGCCGCACGCGCGCUACACUGGUCGAUGCAACGAGUUUCUUUCCUUGGCCGACAGGCCUGGGCAAUCUUUGAACAUCGAUCGUGAUCGGGAUAGAUUCUUGUAAUUUUUGAUCUUAAACGAGGAAUUCCUAGUAAACGCAAGUCAUCAGCUUGCAUUGAUUACGUCCCUGUCCUUUGUACACACCGCCCGUCGCACCUACCGAUUGAAUGGUCCGGUGAAAUCUCCGGACUGGCGUGAGUCGGAGCAAUCUGACAAACACCGGAAAGUUGAUUAAACCUUACCAUUUAGAGGAAGGUGAANUCGUAACA